UAAGUGCAGAAUAUUAAUAAAAUAUUCUGUAUAUAUUGUGAAAAUUCGAGAUAAAAGUUGCACUUUUUUCAACUUUAAGUGCGAAUAUCUCGAAAACUACAAGUCAGUUGCAGCUAUAUAUAUAUAUAUAUAUAUAUAUAUAUUCUUAAUCUGGAGAACCUCCUCUUUCCAACGAUACCCAUUUUAUUACCGAAAGCCUCGGAUAGUAUAUUAAGUUUUCCUAGUUUGUAUUUUGUCUGAUCUGAUAACAAUGCAAAAAGUUAUAAAAAAACGAAAAUUUUGAGACAAAUGCUUGGUUUUAUUCGCCGAAGGAAAGGAUUAUCAAUUUAAUUGACAAAGUCUUUGAAUACAUUCUGAGGUUCUCCCUAAUGCAUUGAAAGGAAAAUCAAGCACAUUGUAACUUGUCUAAAUAUGUAAAACAAAGACUACCGUCAAAGAUAACAUGAUACGAAACUCUUUCAUUCGUGAGAGAACUCUCAUGUGCUGAACACAUAGAAGACGACAAGCGACGAGCGACAUCUGUCAAAUAUUAAAAUACCCGCGUUCUUAUGGGCACAGAUUUUUUAACAACAGCACGACUUCACGACAAAAGGGUUGAAGACUUCGCUGUCGCCAAAUUAUAAAUGUUUAUAAUUUUGCCGACGACAAUGGCCGGUGUAGAGCUGCCACUAAUAUGUGAAAUGUAAAAUUAUUCAAAGUUCUAACAAGUACGACGUUAUUUUGCCAGCAGAAGCGUAAAAUAGCUUUGAUAUAUCAUUUAUAAUAACAAUGGAUUGUUUAAAGCAAAUAAAUCGAUAUAUUUUUACAUUUUUUGCACAAAAAAUUUCACUUUAAUCUAAAUAUAUAAAUUUUAUUGAAGUGAAAAAUUUUAGUACGGCAACAAUGAAAUUCCUCUUUUAUAUGUCGCUGCCGUCUUCAAAAUGUUCACGACGCUGGCUUCAAAGCGACAUUUGUGAUCAGCAGUCGCUACGUCGUGUCGUGUCGCCGUCUUUGUGUUCAGCACUUCAAAGUCCUCGUUUUUUAUAACAAUUGGCAGUGGUGCCACUGCGAGAAAACAUAAGUUAGGAGAUUUUUAUUCGAUUUCUUGGGUAUUUAUUGGUUUGCAAUUUACACUUAAUAGAGACUUCUUAACCAAUAUUAGGCCAAGACAUAACCUUAUAAAUAUAUACAUAUUUUAAGGUAAACAAUAAACAUCUACACAUAAAAAUAACCAAAUAUUAUAAUAAUUAAAAGUCGUACAUAUUAUAAGUCAACAUAAACAAAAAUUUAGUUUAGUUUAAUUUAGUAACAUAUAUUUAUUUAUAUUUUAUAAACAAAUAAACACCUUAAUAUAUUCUAUAAAAGUUUAAGAGAAAAUUUGUACCCAGAUAUGUAUUUACGUAAAUGGUAUUUAACACUGCUAAAGAAAGUAUAUUACUUUGGUACAAAUAGCCACCGUUUCUUAAAUAAUAUAUACAUAUUAACUCCAUUUAAAUAAAAGUUAAUAAUAAUUCAAAAUCACAAAAAAACUUAUCGUAGAAAAAACGAACUAUUACAUCAUUUAUUUCUGCGGGAUUCUUAGUGGUAACUCGUCAUUUUGACUGUCAGCUGUUCAGUAGCCCAUGAUCUGGAUUUGUUGCAAACAUCAAAAAUGAGUUCAUGGGCUCUCUCAGCAAGCAAAAGAGAAGAGUUUCGUAUCAUAUUAUCCAUGCUACCGUAGACCGAAAAAUACAUUAAGAGAGGCUACUGGCGAACAUGACAGGUUGCUAAUCGCCAGUCGCAAUUUUUUGCAUAUUAUCUAUUACUUUUAACCCUUAUAAUAGUAAUAGUCCCAGCAAGUCAUGGGUACUGAAACUCCAACACAUUCAAAGAAAUUUUAAUAACACCACUACAUAUACAUAUACGCAACAAAGGGUAAAAUGUGCAUAAACAAUUAACUCAACUCUUCUCUCAUACAGCACCCUGAAUGAUAGAAAGAAACAACCAAAGUUCUCGUGUUGGAACAAGUUUUGUUUUGAUUUAUAUCAUGGCUGCUUGUGAAGUAUUAUUUUGCGUGUUUUAUUUAAUUCAGUGAUCUGCAGCCUAAUUAAAGUUUAAAUUAUUGAAGCACGCAUUUUUAAAUAAGUAAAACGUAAAACAAAAGUUUUCUAAAGCCAAAAUAUGGAAUUGAAGAGGGUGGAUACAGUAAAACUUCAUUGCACUGUCAAUUAGAAGCACGCAAUAGAAGCUACGCCAACAAUGGUCAACAUCAAGGGCAAAACCAUUGAAUAUAUAUUUCAAACCUCAUAUGGCGCGUUAAAGGUACGCAAACUUAUUGGUGUCACUUAUGAUAGCAAUGUAGAACUUUCGAAGCGAUGGAAUAUGUGCUGCAAGCAAAUCCAGAACUAUGGAUGCAAACGCUGCUACAUGGAACACAAAUCAUUUACACACCAGAUAUGUAUGUAUUAGGUUUAAUGUCACUUUUUUACGUGCAAUUAAACCUUUUGGUCAACAUAAGCACAAUAAUUGGAACCACAUGGUUUAGGUGAUUUUGUAACUGUUUAUCGUCGCGACGUGUGUCAACUGGGUUUUGCCAAUGAGCUAGAGGGCAAAGCAGAUGCAGUAUUUUUGGACUUACCAGCACCUCAGUUGGCCAUACCAGCAGCUGAAACAUAGAAAUCAGAGGAUAAAUUUAAGUGAAUGUUUGUGAUCAUAGAAAUUUAAAAACUUCUUGUAUGUUCAAUUAGGAGGACUUUUUUGAUUCAUUUUCACCUUGUAUUGAGAAAUCACAACGUUGUUGUAUCGCUUUACAAGGACAGGGAUUCACCGAAAUUAGUUCAAUGGAAAUACUAAUCAUUAUCUUAUAGCAAUUGUAUUGUAUUUCGCGGAUACAAUUUAAAUAAAUUCUCCCCAAAUAUUCUUGAAAAUUCCAAUUAAAAAGGGUAAAUUCACAAUACACUACGCCAACAUGAUUGUGCAAUCAGAAAAAUAUCAAAAUCGUUUUGGUUUUGCUCCAACAGAUUGUGCAACCACACCACAAGUAUAUACACGAUCAAUCAGCUGGCACCAUCAGGUGAUUACGCUAGCAUGCUGGUGUAGUGUAUUGGGCGCUUUACGUUGAUAUCAUUGUAUAGAUCUAUACAAUGGUUGAUAUGUAAUUGAAUUUGUUGAUUUUAAAAGAUUUUUAAAAGUAAAAAAUUUAACAACCCUUAACAAAAAAUCGUAGUGAUGGGCAAAGCUUCAGAAUUCGAAGGACAGUAGUUGAUCGAUUGGUGGAUUUAAGUACAUAUGUAAAUGCUGUUUGAUAUAUCUAUCUUUUAAAUAUAUUUAAAAAUAUACAAAAUAUAGUAAACAACAAAUAAAAUUUUAAUAUUUAACUUACUUCACAAGAUCCAAAGGAUCGUUCCAAUCUAAUUUUCCUUCGAAUUAAUGCGACAUUCAAGCUUUCCUGUCGACUUAUGAAAAAGAUUCACUACUCAACAAAGUUAUUUUUUAAAUUUUAAUGCAAAUAAAUUAUUUUUUCACGUAGUUGUAUUUGUAACCGCACAAUUUGUCACCCACAUUUGAACAAUGUUGUCAAGAACUUUAAAAACAAUUGCCAAAAAACUAAAGGUUGUUAUCUGCGUAUUCUAGGAUACUGGGACAAAUAGCCUAUCGUAAUAUGAAAUCUUGUUUCAGUAGUCAGAGCAACCACAAUGGCGACUAUUAUUCUGUAGCCUUGCACAAUUGGGGUGUAAAUUGGGCCCAAAACUAUCGGUAGAACGUCAUGAAAUUCACACAGAACGUGAUACUUUGACAAAUUUCAACACUGCUGUCGUGAUUGCCAUCUCGAAUGCGCCCAUUACCUCUAUCAUAGUUUUCGUGGAGUAUCUGGGAUUUAAGAAUGCAUGAGCCUUAGUAAAACUAAUCCGCGUUUAUGUUUUUUUGAUAGAAACGUUUUUUUCGGCUGAUGUUCAAUAGAUACGAACAUUGAGGAGUCUUCUAACCCGACCAACAUUGGAAGUGGUUUUACGUGGAGGAGCCUUACGGGAUUAAUUUUUUUAUUCAUGUCUUUGGAUCAUAAUUGACUAAAUUAAUAGCAUUAUAUGCCAUUUUCGGAUAAUAUUUCACUAUUUGUGCGAUUUAAGAUGGUUUUUUUUCGUUUAUAAAGAUUUGUAUCUAAGCACAUUUUUUUCGAAAAAAAAAAAAACAAUACAUUCCCCUUUUUUAAUUUUUAAGAAAAUAAAUUAACACACUUAUACAACUUUCGAUGUUAAAAUGUGAAAUUGUUUAGUGGGCUGUUUCUCUGAACAACUGAAACAACAAAAAAUUAAGUUAUAAUUCUUACGGGACAUAGUUUACCGUUUCACAUUACUCAGGCAAGAAAUAAAGUUUUCACCUUUAUUAGUAAUAAAAAAUAUUUUUAUCAAAUAGCGUGCUAUUUCUCUGUGUAUAGCUGUAUGCAUGUGAGUUGGUAUAUUAAAAAUGGAUUGCUAAACAAAGCAAUUUGUUCCGGUACUUGAAGCCAUCUUGGAUGUACUUUCCUAUUUCCUGUUUGAUAAUUUAUCCAAAUA
This is a long non-coding RNA of Zeugodacus cucurbitae (melon fly), 4511 nucleotides long. RefSeq lists it as uncharacterized. The transcript has 2 exons. The record is from RefSeq and is a predicted model, not a curated record. NCBI's taxonomy places the organism in Eukaryota, Metazoa, Arthropoda, Insecta, Diptera, Tephritidae.